RNAcentral lists this ribosomal RNA (485 nucleotides) under uncultured bacterium. RNAcentral's name for it is "partial 16S ribosomal RNA". It matches the Rfam family "Bacterial small subunit ribosomal RNA", at positions 30 to 507 of the family's 1533-position model. The record is from RNAcentral.
AUUGAACGCUGGCGGCAGGCUUAACACAUGCAAGACGAGCGGGGAAAGGUAGCUUGCUACCUGACCUAGCGGCGGACGGGUGAGUAAUGCUUAGGAAUCUGCCUAUUAGUGGGGGACAACAUCUCGAAAGGGAUGCUAAUACCGCAUACGUCCUACGGGAGAAAGCAGGGGACCUUCGGGCCUUGCGCUAAUAGAUGAGCCUAAGUCGGAUUAGCUAGUUGGUGGGGUAAAGGCCUACCAAGGCGACGAUCUGUAGCGGGUCUGAGAGGAUGAUCCGCCACACUGGGACUGAGACACGGCCCAGACUCCUACGGGAGGCAGCAGUGGGGAAUAUUGGACAAUGGGGGGAACCCUGAUCCAGCCAUGCCGCGUGUGUGAAGAAGGCCUUUUGGUUGUAAAGCACUUUAAGCGAGGAGGAGGCUACCGAGAUUAAUACUCUUGGAUAGUGGACGUUACUCGCAGAAUAAGCACCGGCUAACUCGGUG